CGGUUGCGGUCCGGUUCGGGCAGGACCAUCACCUCGGGGGUGACCUCGGCCGGCGGCGGCUCGGCCGGUACGGCGCUCAACUCGUCGACGAUCGU
This 95-nucleotide transfer RNA is filed under the name Actinoplanes auranticolor. RNAcentral's name for it is "tRNA-Pro". Lineage: Bacteria; Bacillati; Actinomycetota; Actinomycetes; Micromonosporales; Micromonosporaceae. The record is from RNAcentral.